GCUGUUCUAGUUUUGUCAAUGAUUACCCUGGCCUGACAAAGGAUCCAGACCAACUCUCAGACGCUGCAGUCCUGUGCCAUCCACUGAGAACAGUUAUCCAGCUAAACUGGGCAUUGGUGACCUUGCAGGGGAAAUGGAAGGCCUAGUUGUCAUGGCACCAGAGGGAGCAGCAGAGGGUGAAACAGCAUCACAAGCCAAGGUGGAAGCAGAAGAACAGGCAGAAGAAACAAGGGAGAUGGAAAUCCCAGAGGGAGCAGGCCCAUGUGAAGGGACGAUCACCCCUGAAAGAGCAGCAGCAGAGCAGGCAGAGGCAGAAGAAGCAGCAGUGGUAGUGAUGGAAGUCUCAGAAGAUCUGGAAGGAGAAAGAGUUGCCGAAGCAUUUGCCAGAGCAGCUGAAAGGAUAGCAAAAUCAGAAGUAGCUAAGGUGUUGCAAUCAGCAAUAGCUGAGCUAAAAGAGAAGAGGAGGAACGCAUGGCUAAAGCCGAGGAACAGCUCUCAACAGGAGGAGAAGGAAUGGGUAG
This is a long non-coding RNA of Rhea pennata, 521 nucleotides long. RefSeq lists it as uncharacterized. The transcript has 3 exons. NCBI's taxonomy places the organism in Eukaryota, Metazoa, Chordata, Aves, Rheiformes, Rheidae. The record is from RefSeq and is a predicted model, not a curated record.